RNAcentral lists this ribosomal RNA (716 nucleotides) under uncultured Actinomycetes bacterium. RNAcentral's name for it is "bacterial SSU rRNA". It matches the Rfam family "Bacterial small subunit ribosomal RNA", at positions 54 to 786 of the family's 1533-position model. Lineage: Bacteria; Bacillati; Actinomycetota; Actinomycetes. The record is from RNAcentral.
CAUGCAAGUCGAACGGCAGCACGGAGAGCUUGCUCUCUGGUGGCGAGUGGCGAACGGGUGAGUAAUAUAUCGGAACGUGUCCAAUAAUGGGGGAUAACGAGUCGAAAGAUUCGCUAAUACCGCAUACGCCCUACGGGGGAAAGCAGGGGAUCGUAAGACCUUGCGUUAAUGGAGCGGCCGAUAUCUGAUUAGCUUGUUGGUGAGGUAAAGGCUCACCAAGGCGACGAUCAGUAGCUGGUUUGAGAGAACGACCAGCCACACUGGAACUGAGACACGGCCCAGACUCCUACGGGAGGCAGCAGUGGGGAAUCUUGCGCAAUGGGCGAAAGCCUGACGCAGCAACGCCGCGUGCGGGAAGAAGGCUUUCGGGCUGUAAACCGCUUUCAGUAGGAACGAAACUGACGGUACCUACAGAAGAAGGAGCGGCCAACUAUGUGCCAGCAGCCGCGGUGACACAUAGGCUCCAAGCGUUGUCCGGAUUUAUUGGGCGUAAAGAGCUCGUAGGCGGUUGAGUAAGUCGGGUGUGAAAACUUUGGGCUUAACCCAAAGAUGCCACUCGAUACUGUUCAACUUGAGUUUGGUAGGGGAGUGGGGAAUUCCUUGUGUAGCGGUGAAAUGCGCAGAUAUAAGGAGGAACACCGGUGGCGAAGGCGCCACUCUGGGCCAAUACUGACGCUGAGGAGCGAAAGCGUGGGGAGCAAACAGGAUUAGAUACC